This 300-nucleotide non-coding RNA is filed under the name Branchiostoma floridae (Florida lancelet). Its description in RNAcentral is "Eukaryotic small subunit ribosomal RNA". It matches the Rfam family "Eukaryotic small subunit ribosomal RNA", at positions 57 to 382 of the family's 1831-position model. The record is from Rfam by way of RNAcentral. Lineage: Eukaryota; Metazoa; Chordata; Leptocardii; Amphioxiformes; Branchiostomatidae.
GUGCGAGUACGUAUAAAACUGCCUCAGUUAAACUGAGAAUGACUCAUUAAAUCAGUUAUGGUUCCUUUGAUCGUCACAUCCUACAUGGAUAACUGUGGUAAUUCAUGCGGAAGAAGCGCCGACCUCACGGCCUGGCGUGCAUUUAUCAGACCAAGACCAACCCGGGGUUCGCCCCGGUCCCUUUGGUGACUCUGGAUAACCCAGCCGAUCGCACGAUCUUCGCACCGGCGACAGAUCAUUCGAUGGUAGGUUCUGUGCCAACCAUUGUGGCAACGGGUGACGGGGAAUCAGGGUUCGGAG